Molecule: ribosomal RNA, 513 nt
Filed under: uncultured bacterium
Lineage: Bacteria
Description: partial 16S ribosomal RNA
Rfam family: Bacterial small subunit ribosomal RNA
Source: RNAcentral
GACGAACGCUGGCGGCAUGCCUAAUACAUGCAAGUCGAGCGAACAGAUGGAGUGCUUGCACUUCUGACGUUAGCGGCGAACGGGUGAGUAACACGUAAGGAAUCUACCUAUAAGCGGGGGAUAACAUUCGGAAACGGGUGCUAAUACCGCAUAAUAUCUUCUUCCGCAUGGAAGAAGAUUGAAAGACGGCUCUGCUGUCACUUAUAGAUGACCUUGCGGUGCAUUAGUUAGUUGGUGGGGUAACGGCCUACCAAGACGAUGAUGCAUAGCCGACCGGGGAGGGUGAUCGGCCACAUUGGGACUGAGACAAGGCCCAAACUCCUACGGGAGGCAGCAGUAGGGAAUCUUCCGCAAUGGGCGAAAGCCUGACGGAGCAAUGCCGCGUGAGUGAAGAAGGCCUUCGGGUCGUAAAACUCUGUUAUAAGAGAAGAACAAAUUGUAGAGUAACUGCUACAGUCUUGACGGUAUCUUAUCAGAAAGCCACGGCUAACUACGUGCCAGCCGCCGCGGUAA